RNAcentral lists this long non-coding RNA (431 nucleotides) under Gallus gallus (chicken). Lineage: Eukaryota; Metazoa; Chordata; Aves; Galliformes; Phasianidae. The record is from RNAcentral.
CAUGCUGAUAACAACGGUAUAACGAAGUCCAAAACAAGCUGCAAUGCUGUUGGUUUUCAAAAAGCUUUUAGAACUGGAGAUGAGCAGUCCACUGUAACACUAUGUUUGGGUCAAGAUGAUGUAGCUUUUACAAUUCAUCCCUUGCGUGUGUGUGGAAGAAGUAAGUGGAACAGAAAAUCACUUCCACCUGGACCACUGCUUCUCUUUAUCUGUUAAAGGCACAUAUAUCACUCCCAUCAGAGGCUUCAUUUUGACACUGCCAUCUUCUAGUUUGUCAUACUGUUCAAGCAUCUGGUUUCCCCCUGCAGGACCAACUGGUAAUAUCAAUCUUCCGCCAGGUUUUAACUGAUCUAUAAGUGCUUGGGGCACAACUGGUGCUGCAGCUCCUACAUGAAUUGCAUCAUAGGGAGCUUCUUCUGCGUAUCCCAUUC